RNAcentral lists this unclassified non-coding RNA (379 nucleotides) under fungal sp. RNAcentral's name for it is "partial internal transcribed spacer region". The stretch from base 1 to 46 matches the Rfam family "Eukaryotic small subunit ribosomal RNA", at positions 1786 to 1831 of the family's 1831-position model. The record is from RNAcentral. Lineage: Eukaryota; Fungi.
AAGUCGUAACAAGGUUUCCGUAGGUGAACCUGCGGAAGGAUCAUUAACACGUAUCCACGUACCACCACGCGCACUGUUUUUUACCGCCCUGUCCAUUACCCGAGUGAGGAAGGUGAUUUCGAGAGAUUGAAUGGGGAUCGUCCGCGAUCCGCUCUCGGCUCAUAUAUUAUACCACUUUAGUGAUGUCCAGGCAAACUCUAUUGCUCUCAUGUCCAUUCAAGAUGGGGGCAAUAGAACUCAUAACAACCAUUUUCACCCCUUUUUUGCUAGUUGGUUUAUUCUGUUGUACUCUUUUGUGCUUCAUCUGCAUCGAAGAUACACACGUUUAAUUUAUUUGAACGUAAAAUUACAACUCUUAGCAAUGGAUAUCUAGGUUCUC